This 497-nucleotide ribosomal RNA is filed under the name uncultured bacterium. Its description in RNAcentral is "partial 16S ribosomal RNA". It matches the Rfam family "Bacterial small subunit ribosomal RNA", at positions 28 to 507 of the family's 1533-position model. The record is from RNAcentral.
GAUGAACGCUGGCGGCGUGCCUAAUACAUGCAAGUCGAGCGAACGGACGAGAAGCUUGCUUCUCUGAUGUUAGCGGCGGACGGGUGAGUAACACGUGGAUAACCUACCUAUAAGACUGGGAUAACUUCGGGAAACCGUAGCUAAUACCGGAUAAUAUUUUGAACCGCAUUGUUCAAAAGUGAAAGACGGUCUUGCUGUCACUUAUAGAUGGAUCCGCGCUGCAUUAGCUAGUUGGUAAGGUAACGGCUUACCAAGGCAACGAUGCAUAGCCGACCUGAGAGGGUGAUCGGCCACACUGGAACUGAGACACGGUCAAGACUCCUACGGGAGGCAGCAGUAGGGAAUCUUCCGCAAUGGGCGAAAGCCUGACGGAGCAACGCCGCGUGAGUGAUGAAGGUCUUCGGAUCGUAAAACUCUGUUAUUAGGGAAGAACAUAUGUGUAAGUAACUGUGCACAUCUUGACGGUACCUAAUCAGAAAGCCACGGCUAACUACGUG